AUUCAUACUAAGUGGAAAAGGAGGUGAAAUUUCUCAGACAGCCAGGAGGUUUGCUUAGAGGCAGCCAUCCUUUAAAGAGUGCGUAACAGCUCACUGGUCAAGAGAUUUUGCGCCGACAAUUCAACGGGGCUCAAGUAUGAUGCCGAAACUAUGAUCCCCGGUUUACUCUCUCUAAGUCCGACUAAGGUCGGGCCAAGAGAGAGUUUACCGGGGAGGUAGGAGAGCGUUCUUGUUGCUUUGAAGUCAGACUGUAAAGUACUGGUGGAGCGGCAAGAAGUGAGAAUGCAGGCAUGAGUAGCGAAAUCUGGGUGAAAAACCCGGACACCGAAUAUCCAAGGUUUCCUUAGCUAUGUUAGUCAACUAAGGGUUAGUCGGUCCUAAGCCGAGGCCGAAAGGCGUAGGCGAUGGACAUGCUGUUAAUAUUCAGCAACCAAUGAUUUUUCGUUAUUACCUAUGGGGUGACUGAUUUGGAGAAUUGUGAAGUCUCGACAGGUCGGGAUUCAAUCAAUAAACUUAGUUUAGCCAGGCAAAUCCGGUUAAACGCAAGCCCUCGAUUUAUCGGGGAAACAAGUGAAUUGUGAUGAAGAGCUGAUGCUACGGCUGAGGCGAUUUCAUAUAUUCAAGUCACAAGAAAAACCUCUAUGGGAGAAAAAUUAUUGACCGUACCGCAAACCGACACAGGUGGAUUGGUAGAGUAUACCAAGGUGACCGAGUUAUUCUCUGUUAAGGAAUUCGGCAAAUUGCAUCCGUAACUUCGGGAGAAGGAUGUCCUAAGCAUUGUGCUUCAUUGCACUCUAAGUUUAGGAGGCACAAAAUUAGCCCAAGCGACUGUUUAACAAAAACACAGGCACCUGCCAAAUCGCAAGAUGAUGUAUAGGUGCUGACGCCUGCCCAAUGCUAGAAGAUCACGGAAGGGGGUUAUUUCCGAUUCGUCGGAAAGAAGCUUCUGACCUAAGUCCUAGUCAAUGGCGGCUGUAACUAUUAACACCAUAGUAGUUGUAAAAUUUGGCUAUAUGCUGGAAACUCCGAGUAUCUCUAAUUACUAGUAAUUUGCGUCGCAAUACAUUGUGACGAUUACAGUGAAAAUGUUAGAGUGCGGACAAUCAGCAGGAAAGAUUCUUAUGGUGCAAGUCGAUAAAAUUCCAAUUGAAAUAGGUUCUUAUAUUGCAGGAUUUACUGAUGGUGAAGGAAGUUUCAACGUUUCUUUUAAACGCAGAAGUGAUUACCGAAAUGGUAUCAAGAUAUCCGCUAGUUUCAAUAUUUCUCAAAAAGAAGUAGAGAUUCUGGAAUGGAUAAAGUCUGUUUUGAAAUGUGGAACUAUUCGUCAUCGGGGAGAUGGAGUUUACUAUUAUGAAGUCACUAAUCUAAAAGAAUUAGCGGCUUUUGUAAUUCCAUUCUUUGAUAAAUUCGAAUUAAAAACCAGAAAAUUGGAAACUUUUAAUACUUUUGUCAAAAUUGUAAAUUUGAUGCUCAAGGGCAGACAUUUACAAAGAGAUGUAGUAUUGGAAAUAUUCGACUUGCGUGAACGAAUUGUUGUUGGAAGAAAGAGGAAGUAUUCUAGAAAGGAUAUUGAAUCGAUCUUAGAUAAUUCGUCGAAAGUAGGAAAAUCCUCAGAGACUAUACGCCAAACAUCAGUUUAAGAAAUUGAACUGUAAUGAUAUAGUCCGGACUGCAUGGCGACAUGCAGAGGUAAACAGAAAUGUUUAUCCGCGAGAUUUUUCUCGUUGUAACACAAUCGAACGGUCCUAAGGUAGCGAAGUUCCUCGGCGCUUAAUAGGCGUCCCGCACGAAAGGCGUAACGACUUGGGCACUGUCUCAACAGGGAGCUCGGCGAACAUUGAAAUGGCUGUGAAGAUGCGGCCUACCCACACCAGGACAAAAAGACCCCGGGAUCUUUACUACAGCUUGUCAUUGAGAUAAAGCUCAUUUUGUAGAGUGUAGGAGGGAGACUUUGAUGUCAGGUCGCAAGAUCUGGCGGAGUCGCCAAUGUAACACCUCCCUAAGUUUGUUUUAUUUCUAACUCUUUCAGUUAUCCUGAAAGGAGACAGUGUCAGGUGGGUAGUUUGACUGGGGCGGUUUCUUACUAAAAAGUACCGUAAGAUUUCAAAGGUCGACUCAAGCUGGAUGGAAAUCAGCUUAAGAGCAUAAUGGUAUAAGUCGGCUUUACUGUGAGACUGACAGGUCGAGCAGUUACGAAAGUAGGACAUAGUGACCCUUAGGUGGCGUGUGGAAGCGCCUUUGAUUAUAGAACAAAAGUUACCCCGGGGAUAACAGGCUAGUCUUGCCCGAGCGUUCAAAGCGGCGGCAAGGUUCGGCACCUUAACCAAAGACAUUUGGGGUGCGUGUGGUAGCAAUACUGCACAUGAAAUUUGGCUUAUAACGGUGAACUCCAUUGAUGUAUAAUAGCCUUAUACAGAACAAAUUAAUGGACAAUACCGUGGGAAGUCUAACUUCAAAACAAAAGUCAGUGGUAAUAGGAACUCUUUUGGGAGAUGGUUAUUUAAGAAGAAUUUCUGGCAGGAAAGAUGCAUUUCUUGAGAUAAAUCAUUCAUAUAAACAAAAAGAUUAUGUCUUUCGGAAGUAUGAAAUACUCAAAGAAUUUGUAAAAUCUCCUCCAAAACUUCGAGAAUGCAAUUCUCGCAAAGCUUAUCGAUUCUUUACUAGGCAAAACAAUGAUUUCUCGAAAUUAUUGAGUUUGUUUUAUGAAAAUGGUAAGAAGAGAAUACCUAAAAUUACUAUUGAUCCGCUUAGUCUAGCGGUUUGGUAUAUGGAUGAUGGAAGUAGAUCGAGAGAAGAUGAUGUUUAUCUAAAUUCUCAGCAAUUUAGUUUGAGUGAUCAAGAAAGAUUGUUGAAAAUGCUCCAAAAAUUGAGAUUGGAAGCAAGAUUGAAUAAGGAUAAAGAAUAUCAUCGGAUCAGAUUUCUCAAAUCAUCUUUGCCUAGAUUUAGAAGAAUGGUUCAACCAUUUGUAAUAGAAUCUAUGCAGUACAAACUUUGAAGUUAUGACCCUGUAGAGACUUGUUCCAAUAGGGAACGGAUAUCGGAUUCACAAGAAUGAUAAAAAUUCUUGAAAAUUAUGUCCGGUAUAAUACGCCAAACUCCUGAAGACAUUAAUCAGGAUGAAGAUAUAGUCCAUUCCAUUAGUAAUAAUGGGUUUCUCAAAAAAUGCGAUGUCGGCUCGUCACAUCCUGGGGCUGUACAAGGUCCCAAGGGUUGGGCUGUUCGCCCAUUAAAGUGGCACGCGAGCUGGGUUCAAACCGACGUGAGUCAGGUUGGUCUCUAUCCGGUGUGGGCGUAAUAAAUUUGAGGGAAUUGACCCCUAGUACGAGAGGAUCGGGGUGAGGGAAUCUCUAGUGCAUCUGUUGUCGCACCAGCGGCAUAGCAGAGUAGCUACAUUCCUAUCAGGAUAAGUGCUGAAGGCAUAUAAGCACGAAACCUCUCCCAAGAUUAGAUUUAUUGGUUCCCCAGAAGAAUACUGGGUUGAUAGGCUCUAGGUGUACGUGCAGCAAUGCAUUUAGCCAAGGAGUACUAAUAGAACCUAAGCUUUUUCUUUUUUUAAUA
RNAcentral lists this ribosomal RNA (3558 nucleotides) under Candidatus Dojkabacteria bacterium. RNAcentral describes it as "partial 23S ribosomal RNA". It matches the Rfam family "Bacterial large subunit ribosomal RNA", at positions 1052 to 2925 of the family's 2925-position model. The record is from RNAcentral.